AUUGAACGCUGGCGGAAUGCUUUACACAUGCAAGUCGAACGGCAGCACGGACUUCGGUCUGGUGGCGAGUGGCGAACGGGUGAGUAAUGUAUCGGAACGUGCCCAGUCGUGGGGGAUAACGUAGUGAAAAUUACGCUAAUACCGCAUACGAUCUAUGGAUGAAAGCGGGGGAUCGCAAGACCUCGCGCGAUUGGAGGGGCGGAUAUCAGAUUAGGUAGUUGGUGGGGUAAAGGCCCACCAAGCCAACGAUCUGUAGCUGGUCUGAGAGGACGACCAGCCACACUGGAACUGAGACACGGUCCAGACUCCUACGGGAGGCAGCAGUGGGGAAUUUUGGACAAUGGGCGAAAGCCUGAUCCAGCCAUUCCGCGUGCAGGAUGAAGGCCCUCGGGUUGUAAACUGCUUUUGUACAGAACGAAAAGGUUUCUACUAAUACUAGGAGCUCAUGACGGUACUGUAAGAAUAAGCACCGGCUAACUACGUGCCAGCCGCCGCAGUAA
RNAcentral lists this ribosomal RNA (500 nucleotides) under uncultured bacterium. Its description in RNAcentral is "partial 16S ribosomal RNA". It matches the Rfam family "Bacterial small subunit ribosomal RNA", at positions 30 to 523 of the family's 1533-position model. The record is from RNAcentral.